Non-coding RNA from Pelobates cultripes (western spadefoot toad), 204 nucleotides. The record is from the annotation of a GenBank genome assembly. Lineage: Eukaryota; Metazoa; Chordata; Amphibia; Anura; Pelobatidae.
UAGGGUGUAAAUUGCUUGUGCAUUCUUAACCCCGAAGUGCAUAACUUUGCAUUUCUCUACGUUAAAUUUCAUCUGCCAUUUUAGUGCCCAGUCCCCCAAUCUAUUCAAAUCCCUCUGCAGCAAAGCAAUAUCCUGCUCACAUUUUAUUACUUUACAAAGUUUUGUGUCAUCUGCAAACACUGAUACAUGACUUUCAAUGCCUAU